ACAGUAGUGGUUCAGUGGUAGAAUUCUCUCUUUCCAUGUGGGAGACCUGGGUUCGAUUCCCAGCCAAUGCA
This 71-nucleotide transfer RNA is filed under the name Loxodonta africana (African savanna elephant). It matches the Rfam family "tRNA". Rfam says of the family: Transfer RNA (tRNA) molecules are approximately 80 nucleotides in length. Their secondary structure includes four short double-helical elements and three loops (D, anti-codon, and T loops). Further hydrogen bonds mediate the characteristic L-shaped molecular structure. tRNAs have two regions of fundamental functional importance: the anti-codon, which is responsible for specific mRNA codon recognition, and the 3' end, to which the tRNAs corresponding amino acid is attached (by aminoacyl-tRNA synthetases). tRNAs cope with the degeneracy of the genetic code in two manners: having more than one tRNA (with a specific anti-codon) for a particular amino acid; and 'wobble' base-pairing, i.e. permitting non-standard base-pairing at the 3rd anti-codon position. The record is from Rfam by way of RNAcentral. Lineage: Eukaryota; Metazoa; Chordata; Mammalia; Proboscidea; Elephantidae.